GUCGAGAAUCUUUCACAAUGGGGGCAACCCUGAUGGAGCGACGCCGCGUGGAGGAUAAGGUCUUCGGAUUGUAAACUCCUGUCAUGCGUGAACAAGGUUGCUUGGUUAAUACCUGGGCAAAUUGAUGGUAACGCAAGAGGAAGAGACGGCUAACUCUGUGCCAGCAGCCGCGGUAAUACAGAGGUCUCAAGCGUUGUUCGGAAUCACUGGGCGUAACGGGUGCGUAGGUGGCGUGGUAAGUCAGAUGUGAAAGCCCGGGGCUCAACCUCGGAACUGCAUCCGAUACUGCCAUGCUAGAGUACUGGAGAGGUGACUAGAAUUCUCGGUGUAGCAGUGAAAUGCGUAGAUAUCGAGAGGAAUACCAAAGGCGUAGGCAGGUCACUGGACAGUUACUGACACUGAGGCACGAAGGCCAGGGGAGCGAACGGGAUUAGAUACCCGUGUAGUCC
RNAcentral lists this ribosomal RNA (449 nucleotides) under uncultured bacterium. RNAcentral's name for it is "partial 16S ribosomal RNA". It matches the Rfam family "Bacterial small subunit ribosomal RNA", at positions 354 to 796 of the family's 1533-position model. The record is from RNAcentral.